Dialister sp. CAG:357 is the source of this 83-nucleotide transfer RNA. It matches the Rfam family "tRNA". From Rfam's summary of the family: Transfer RNA (tRNA) molecules are approximately 80 nucleotides in length. Their secondary structure includes four short double-helical elements and three loops (D, anti-codon, and T loops). Lineage: Bacteria; Bacillati; Bacillota; Negativicutes; Veillonellales; Veillonellaceae. The record is from Rfam.
GCCGGAGUGGCGGAAUGGCAGACGCACCAGACUCAAAAUCUGGCGAUGGCAACAUCGUGCGGGUUCAAGUCCCGCCUCCGGCA